RNAcentral lists this microRNA precursor (60 nucleotides) under Scyliorhinus torazame (cloudy catshark). Its description in RNAcentral is "Sto-Mir-132-P1_pre stem-loop". It matches the Rfam family "mir-132 microRNA precursor family", at positions 11 to 84 of the family's 84-position model. The record is from RNAcentral. Lineage: Eukaryota; Metazoa; Chordata; Chondrichthyes; Carcharhiniformes; Scyliorhinidae.
ACCGUGGCUUUAGAUUGUUACUGUUAAUCUAACCUUAGUAACAGUCUACAGCCAUGGUCG